This 472-nucleotide ribosomal RNA is filed under the name uncultured bacterium. Its description in RNAcentral is "bacterial SSU rRNA". It matches the Rfam family "Bacterial small subunit ribosomal RNA", at positions 355 to 825 of the family's 1533-position model. The record is from RNAcentral.
UGGGGAAUAUUGGACAAUGGGCGAAAGCCUGAUCCAGCCAUGCCGCGUGUGUGAAGAAGGUCUUCGGAUUGUAAAGCACUUUAAGUUGGGAGGAAGGGUUGUAGAUUAAUACUCUGCAAUUUUGACGUUACCGACAGAAUAAGCACCGGCUAACUCUGUGCCAGCAGCCGCGGUAAUACAGAGGGUGCAAGCGUUAAUCGGAAUUACUGGGCGUAAAGCGCGCGUAGGUGGUUUGUUAAGUUGGAUGUGAAAUCCCCGGACUCAACCUGGGAACUGCAUCCAAAACUGGCAAGCUAGAGUAUGGUAGAGGGUGGUGGAAUUUCCUGUGUAGCGGUGAAAUGCGUAGAUAUAGGAAGGAACACCAGUGGCGAAGGCGACCACCUGGACUGAUACUGACACUGAGGUGCGAAAGCGUGGGGAGCAAACAGGAUUAGAUACCCCCGUAGUCCCUGAGCGGGCUGGCAAGGCGCAU